This is a long non-coding RNA of Magnolia sinica, 925 nucleotides long. RefSeq lists it as uncharacterized. The transcript is spliced from 3 exons. NCBI's taxonomy places the organism in Eukaryota, Viridiplantae, Streptophyta, Magnoliopsida, Magnoliales, Magnoliaceae. The record is from RefSeq and is a predicted model, not a curated record.
GCAAGCCGCAUCUAUUACUAGAGCAGAAGAGGAUGGCAUACUUGUGGGGGAUGGUAUUGAUUAUGAGGUUCCUGGCAAAGGCCUAAACCGAAGUUCUAUUUUAGAAGACAUGGAAAGCCUAUUUUAAAGGAAGCGCUGAAAUUAGCCAAUACGUGUGGCUAGCCUGAAUCUCACUAAGCUCCAAGCAGUUGCAUUAAAUCAACAUGUGACAUUCUUCUUAAUAGGUCUUUUCAUCACUUGAUGGUCAUGCUUCUUUGCAUUCAAGCGUUUUGUUAGAUUUACAAAGAGAAUGAUGAAGCUUGUUGGUUUCCAUCAUAUUCAUCAGGUUUUUAAUUCUUCUAUGAGUGAGAUUUUUCUUAACACUUUUCUUGUUAUUAAUUGAUCAUGAAAUUAUUGUUUUGAAUUUUAAGGAUCUUAUUUGAUUAUAUUGGGGGUUGAUAUGUGGAGAUUUUAUUGUUCCCUUUUAAUUAUAAUACCAUGCAGUUACCAUUUGUGAUGGUUCAACAUAUAUACUUGCUGUUUUUUAUUAUACUUGUCCAUCAUGUUUGUUUGCCUCUGCUUAUUUCAAUGGUUUACUAGUUUUAGUUAAUUACUUUAAAGAUACACUAUUAGAAUGAUGUGAAUAGUUUUUCAUUUCUAUGAAGGGGAAUAGUUUCUAUGAUAAUGUUACAUUGAAUUUAUUAGUUGUAGUUGUAGAUUGUAACUUAAUUUUUUAUGGUACACUAGAUAAAAAUUAUCCAAUUAGUUGAGGUGAUUUGGUGUCCCUUGGGAGAUAUAGAAUGGCGACUUCUCUUUUUAGUGGCUUUAGUACAAUAGUCGGCUACAUUGGUUUAUUUUGUGUGACCUAAUCUAUUGGAUAUCAUGUAGAGCAUUUCUAACGAUGCAAACUAUUUGCAUAAUUUGGUCCAAUUUGAAUGGUCCAUCG